CCCCUCCUCCUCAGCUCCAGCCAGCCCACAGAGCACCGUGUCUUCACCCAGUCUAAGAACCUCUUCACCCCUGGUGGUGUCAGAGUCGGGAGCAAACGCUGCCAAAAACAGACUGUCACCUAUCUCUGAGGAGAAAAAGCCUACAGUUACAGUCGGCCGUUUC
This is a long non-coding RNA of Coregonus clupeaformis (lake whitefish), 163 nucleotides long. RefSeq lists it as uncharacterized. The transcript is spliced from 3 exons. The record is from RefSeq and is a predicted model, not a curated record. NCBI's taxonomy places the organism in Eukaryota, Metazoa, Chordata, Actinopteri, Salmoniformes, Salmonidae.